GCCACGGUGGUCUAGCGGUCAGAACGCUGGCCUUGUAAUCCUGGGGUCUCGGGUUCGAUUCCCGGCUGUGCCC
RNAcentral lists this transfer RNA (73 nucleotides) under Zootermopsis nevadensis. It matches the Rfam family "tRNA". Rfam says of the family: Transfer RNA (tRNA) molecules are approximately 80 nucleotides in length. Their secondary structure includes four short double-helical elements and three loops (D, anti-codon, and T loops). Lineage: Eukaryota; Metazoa; Arthropoda; Insecta; Blattodea; Termopsidae. The record is from Rfam by way of RNAcentral.